RNAcentral lists this ribosomal RNA (393 nucleotides) under uncultured bacterium. RNAcentral describes it as "partial 16S ribosomal RNA". It matches the Rfam family "Bacterial small subunit ribosomal RNA", at positions 523 to 918 of the family's 1533-position model. The record is from RNAcentral.
AUACGGAGGAUCCGAGCGUUAUCCGGAUUUAUUGGGUUUAAAGGGUGCGCAGGCGGCCAUUUAAGUCAGCUGUGAAAGUUUGGGGCUCAACCUUAAAAUUGCAGUUGAUACUGGUUUCCUUGAGUACGGUAUAGGUGGGCGGAAUUCGUGGUGUAGCGGUGAAAUGCUUAGAUAUCACGAAGAACUCCGAUCGCGAAGGCAGCUCACCGGGCCGGAACUGACACUGAUGCUCGAAAGUGCGGGUAUCAAACAGGAUUAGAUACCCUGGUAGUCCGCACAGUAAACGAUGAAUACUCGCUGUUUGCGAUACACAGUAAGCGGCCAAGCGAAAGCGUUAAGUAUUCCACCUGGGGAGUACGCCGGCAACGGUGAAACUCAAAGGAAUUGACGGGG